This 433-nucleotide ribosomal RNA is filed under the name uncultured bacterium. Its description in RNAcentral is "partial 16S ribosomal RNA". It matches the Rfam family "Bacterial small subunit ribosomal RNA", at positions 29 to 507 of the family's 1533-position model. The record is from RNAcentral.
AACGAACGCUGGCGGCAUGCCUAACACAUGCAAGUCGAACGAGACCUUCGGGUCUAGUGGCGCACGGGUGCGUAACGCGUGGGAACCUGCCCUUAGGUUCGGAAUAACUCCCCGAAAGGGGUGCUAAUACCGGAUAAUGUCUUCGGACCAAAGAUUUAUCGCCUUUGGAUGGGCCCGCGUUGGAUUAGCUAGUUGGUAGGGUAAAAGCCUACCAAGGCGACGAUCCAUAGCUGGUCUGAGAGGAUGAUCAGCCACACUGGGACUGAGACACGGCCCAGACUCCUACGGGAGGCAGCAGUGGGGAAUAUUGGACAAUGGGCGAAAGCCUGAUCCAGCAAUGCCGCGUGAGUGAUGAAGGCCUUAGGGUUGUAAAGCUCUUUUACCCCGGAUGAUAAUGACAGUACCGGGAGAAUAAGCUCCGGCUAGCUCCGUG